Molecule: ribosomal RNA, 468 nt
Filed under: uncultured bacterium
Lineage: Bacteria
Description: partial 16S ribosomal RNA
Rfam family: Bacterial small subunit ribosomal RNA
Source: RNAcentral
GACGAACGCUGGCGGCGUGCUUAACACAUGCAAGUCGAACGGAAAGGCCCUGCUUUUGUGGGGUGCUCGAGUGGCGAACGGGUGAGUAACACGUGAGUAACCUGCCCUUGACUUUGGGAUAACUUCAGGAAACUGGGGCUAAUACCGGAUAGGAGCUCCUGCUGCAUGGUGGGGGUUGGAAAGUUUCGGCGGUUGGGGAUGGACUCGCGGCUUAUCAGCUUGUUGGUGGGGUAGUGGCUUACCAAGGCCUUGACGGGUAGCCGGCCUGGGAGGGUGACCGGACACACUGGGACUGGAAUACGGCACAGACUCGUACGGGAGGCAACAGUGGGGAAUAUUACACAAGAGGCGGAAGCCUGAUGCAGCAACGCCGCGUGGGGGAUGACGGCCUGCGGGUUGUGAACCGCUGUCGCCUGUGACGAAGCGUGAGUGGCGGUAAUGGGUAAAGAAGCACCGGCUAACUACGUG